This 327-nucleotide ribosomal RNA is filed under the name uncultured eukaryote. Its description in RNAcentral is "partial 18S ribosomal RNA". It matches the Rfam family "Eukaryotic small subunit ribosomal RNA", at positions 1470 to 1796 of the family's 1831-position model. The record is from RNAcentral.
CCCUUAGAUGUCCGGGGCCGCACGCGCGCUACAAUGGAUGAAUCAACGCGUCAUCCUGGCCCGAAAGGGUUGGGGAACCGCUGAACCUCAUCCGUGGUUGGGAUUGGGGUUUGUAAUUAUUCCCCAUGAACUAGGAAUUCCCAGUAGGCGCGAGUCAUAAGCUCGCGUUGAUUACGUCCCUGCCCUUUGUACACACCGCCCGUCGCUACUACCGAUUGGAUGGUUUAGUGAGAUCCUCGGAUUGGUCACGGCACGGUGGCAACACUGCGUCGGUGUGCCGAGAAGACGAUCAAACUUGAUCAUCUAGAGGAAGUAAAAGUCGUAACA